Molecule: ribosomal RNA, 253 nt
Filed under: uncultured bacterium
Lineage: Bacteria
Description: partial 16S ribosomal RNA
Rfam family: Bacterial small subunit ribosomal RNA
Source: RNAcentral
UACGGAGGGUGCAAGCGUUAUCCGGAUUCACUGGGCUUAAAGGGUGCGUAGGUGGGCAGGUAAGUCAGUGGUGAAAUCUCCGGGCUUAACUCGGAAACUGCCGUUGAUACUAUCUAUCUUGAAUAUCGUGGAGGUAAGCGGAAUAUGUCAUGUAGCGGUGAAAUGCUUAGAUAUGACAUAGAACACCCAUUGCGAAGGCAGCUUACUACACGAUCAUUGACACUGAGGCACGAAAGCGUGGGGAGCAAACAGG